RNAcentral lists this long non-coding RNA (4317 nucleotides) under Oryzias sinensis (Chinese medaka). RNAcentral describes it as "lncRNA (ENSOSIG00000015844.1)". Lineage: Eukaryota; Metazoa; Chordata; Actinopteri; Beloniformes; Adrianichthyidae. The record is from RNAcentral.
GGUUAAUUUGCGGCCAUGGGGAAACCUGAUGCUAAUUAGGUCUGAGGAAUGCCCCACUGUGGCAUGGUGGAGCUGCAGCCCUCAGAGUGUGUCAGCCAUGGAGAGAGCCAGCAGCCAGCAGCCCGCUCCGGAUGCCUCAACUCCUCCAUAGUCACAGCCGGGACUGUCUCAGCGGACGAGGAGGUGUGGAGGAUGACCACCAAGUUUGGUGGAGUCACAGGAGAACGUCUGUCUGGGGAGAGGAAGAAAUAACCCCCUCAUUUGGGACUCCCGACAUUAUUCUUUUGCAGACCCCAGAAUAGAUGCGAGAUGUUUUCAGCAGCUUCUGCGCUGCUGCUCUUCUGCGCUGCAGCCGCAGAGAUGUGCAGGGGCGCGCACUGCUACGACCCCAGACCGUGCACCGGAGCGCACUGCCCGGGCGCCAGAUCCGUCAGACCACCGCGACAGUUUAGCCCCUCCACCAGGGGCAAAGCCGCACAGGCGGAGGGGGAUCAGGCGCGCUCGGACCAGAGCUCCACGCGGACGCAAGCGGAAAGUUUCCCAGCACUCCACGGGGGGCACGGAGACGGAGGCGCGCGGAGAAGGUGCGGCGACGCGGACUGCCCCCCCGCCACGACACAGUCCUUUAACGAGACCCGCCAGUGCCGAGGGGUCGAGUGCAGGCUGCCGCAGAGCCUACGAGCAAAAGCGCUGGGAAGGUUUUGUGUUGGAGACGGAUGUCCUGCUGCGCCGGAGGAGAGCGUCCCCAGGACUGCGGGGCAGCUCCCCCCUGUCCAUGUGUCAGACAGAGCCGCGCAGUUCCUGGCAGAUUUUCCAGACUUUGGACAUUCAUCACCGGAACUCGGCGGAGCCUCUCUGGGCGUCCAGCUCACGUGUGACAUAAAACCAGGAGAGAAUGAAGUCCCUUCAGAGGAUGCCCUCAUCUUGCACCUCCAGCUCUCCAAAGGUCAGGAGAAGCUGGUGGAAGCCCUGAGAGCCCAGCAGGUGAUCAUCCGCGACCUGCAGCAGAAGCUUGCUGACCAACAGGAGGCGCUGCUUUCCCAGCAGCGUCAGAUCCUGGACCAGCAGCGGCUCAUGUACGAGCAGAUGGGCGCCGUCAAGUCCCAGUACGGCCUCCUCUCAGACACCUUCAAGCAGGUCUCCUUCCAGGGCCUGCAGGAUGAGCUGCAGAGCUACUUCGAGAGCCACCUGGCGGGACUGCAGAGCCAGGCUCGCAGCCACCUUCGCAAAUCCUACGUCAUCCACCGGACGGACGCGGACUCCAAGGUGAUGGAUGCUGUUGGAGAAGCUCACCUUCCCCAGCCCCUGCUGGGCUGUGCCGCCCCGUGUGGACCAGAGGAGUUCUGCGACUUUCAGAGGAGCCCGCCUCAGUGUGAGAAGUGCACUUUGUGCCCACCGGGGUUCUUCCUCAUCUCCCAGUGCUCUCCGACGGCAGACAGAUUGUGUCAGGACAGAGAUGAAUGCCUGGAACUGCCAAACAUCUGUGGAGAGCGCGUGAAGUGCCUCAACACUCCUGGGGGAUUCAGGUGUCUUGGAGUUACAGAUAGAGAAGCUCUGCUGGGUUUCUGUGGUCGCGAGUACUUCUACAACCAGGAGCUGCAGGAGUGCCAGGCCUGCUCUGACUGUGACGGAGAGCCCGUCGCUGCUCCCUGCAAAGCCGUCAGUGACUCGGUGUGCGGCCAUCUGUCCGGGAGCCUUCUGUCCCAGUCCUGGUCAGGAAAUGUGGCAGGUCCUUCUGCCGGGACAUCUGGAACCCACAUCUUCUCUGGCCUACAGCUGAACGUACGAGGGAAGGAGCGGAGCGAUCUUCUUUCCAACCAGGCGGGGCUGGUGACCUUCCUGCAGCACGGUCUUGUGUGGUUGGAUCACAACUUUGCAAUAAAGCACAGCUGCAGGAACUUCCUUCAGGCGGGGAUGAGGAUCAAUGGGAGCCAGGCAGAGGAGGGUCAGGAUCUCAGCGGCAUUCGGAUCGAACAGCCGGAUGGGAAGUACUUCCAAGGGAUAAGCGUCAGCACGGGGGUGGAGGUGGAGCCCAACCAGACCCUCACACUGCUGCUGAAGAGUCCAAGCCAACACUGCAAUCAGAGCAAGGACCUUCACGUCUUUGAUGUCAGCGCUCCAUCUUUGAGUGUGCUCUGGUUGUCUCACGACACCGGCGCCGUGGCCAUGACAGCUCAGAUGUCUCUGCUGGCGCACUACCAGACCAGCUACCGCCCGACGUUCAGCAUGACCUCCGUGUCUGACCCCUACGUGAUCAGCCUGACCCAUGACGGCAGAGCCGUCCGAUUCACAGAAAGCGGAGUGGUGAAGUUUGUCCUCCAGCAGGCGCUCUACUCGAUGGGUCACACCUGUGUUCGAGAGGGUUUCUCCCUCAUCGCCUACACUUCCCAGAACGGAACGGGCCAAGAAGUGAUGCGGGCUUUCAAGACGGGCGUGAACUACAGAGACACCUCCAUCACGCUGUCCGGCGCCGUCAGCGUGGAGAGCAGAGACACGCUCAGCUUUGAGAUCACUUCCCCGUCUCAGUGCAACAUCCGUUACUUUGGAGACAGCACCGGCAUCAGCAUGCUGAACCUCAUCUGGAUUCCCUCCGCGGUGGCGUCAGCCUUGACAGCCACGGUGUCUAGAACCGGUCUUCCUUCAGGCGCCGUCAGGAAUAAGCCGCUGCUCUUCCAGCAGAUCAGCCCCGACACUCCCCAGGUCCACCUGGCCCACACGGGCCAGCCAGGAAGCCAGAAGAACUUCAUAUUCCAGGAGAGAGGGACAGCAAAUGUUGCCCUGAACCUCAAGCUGAUCCAUUCGUGUAAUAUCAUUAAGCUGACGUUGCAUCAGACUGGGGGGCAGCAGUCGGGACCCGUGGCUCAGCAGGUCUCCGGAUCCAAGCCUGAGGGGAGCGAGUGGGCCAGUGUUGGACUCAGAGCUUCACUUCAGGUCCAGAACGGGACGGCUCUUUACGUUACUCUGGACUGCAUUCGAGGACGGGUCAACCACAUAUCACAUAAGGGCGGCACCAACGUGUCCAUCCUUUGGGUUGCUUUGUGAUCCAACACAACAGAACUGUUCCACACAUUUUAACCUACUAUGCAAACUUUAAUGUUCCAUUAGAUGAAAAACUGAUGCAUAAAUCACAAAUUCUAUUUUUAACGUGUGCUACAUUUCCUGUUCGGACCUGCAUCCUUAAACAUGGAGGUGAACUCCAAGUACUACUUGUACUUCAGGUACUUCAGCUGGUUGAGUAGUGACCAAGUGAUCUGUGAAUGUGUGAAUUUUUGCCAUCUUAAAUAUGAAUGAGUUAUUUAAAAAGCCUCUUUGUUCAUUCCUGCAGGUAUUUAACAUUUAUUAUAUGUAAAAUGAUUUUGUAUUGUGACAUUAGAACUCAAAAGGAGUUGUUGGACAUUUUAGAAAAACAGUUUUCCUUUUUUAGAUGAAGGUUAGUAAGCUGCAUGAGUAAAUGUAACUACACUAUAAAUGCCAUGUUGCCAAAACUACAAAAUAUCCUAAAAAACUUUGAAUAGAAAUCCUAUUUUAUUACUGCAUCUAAAUAAAGAAAUUUACAUAUUUCGAUUCCCACAAACAAUAAAUAAUAAGGUUUAGCAGUGUAUGCGUGGCCGAUGGCAUUUGUUGCAAUCUAUACAUUCAUCACAAGAUGUACUUAUCUUGACUGUAAUUUAACAUAAAGGCCUUUACAGCAGUGAUAGCAGACCGGUAGGCACAGCUCCGUAAGACGGUCAGUACCUGAAGAAAUAAAAUAAACUUGACCUAUGUUGUUUUUUUCUUUUUUAUUUAUUAUCUGAUUCUGAAGGAAGUUUUAUUUUGAAAAACAACUGGAUUCUCCACCGCAUCCAAUUCAUUCUUGAUGCAUGUCAAGUCGCUCGGUCACAUGUCUAGAAUCCAUGCGCUCCUUUCUGAAAGUGUCUAUGAUGAUGAUAAAGUUAAAACCCCCAAGCUAGAAAAGUUUUAAAAAAAAGUUUAUUUUGGCAGAAAAGAUCAUAACAGGAAACGGAAGAAGAGCUUUUGACUUCAAAAUAAAAGAGAGCUUCAUUUAACAGACCAAAACCAGGAGUCUUUCCUCAUAAUUUGGAUUUAUUGUGACAGUUAUUCCCACAGAUCAGAAUAAUAAUGCAGAAUAUUCAGCAACCGGCUGUCUAAUGUUACAAGGAUGCUGCUAAUAAAGUUGCUAAAAUGGUGGAUUCGUGCUUAUUUUUUCAAUAUUUAGGAAAUACCCAUUUUUUUUUUUGUAUUUAUACAUUGCACUGUGAAAGUUGGACAAGGCUGUAACUAAAUUUUCAGCUUCCACUUUGAAAGUAAUAAAUUAAG